Molecule: ribosomal RNA, 370 nt
Filed under: uncultured bacterium
Lineage: Bacteria
Description: bacterial SSU rRNA
Rfam family: Bacterial small subunit ribosomal RNA
Source: RNAcentral
UACGGAGGGUCCAAGCGUUAUCCGGAAUCAUUGGGUUUAAAGGGUCCGUAGGCGGCCUUAUAAGUCAGUGGUGAAAUCUCCUAGCUCAACUAGGAAACUGCCAUUGAUACUGUAGGGCUUGAAUUUUUGUGAAGUAACUAGAAUAUGUAGUGUAGCGGUGAAAUGCUUAGAUAUUACAUGGAAUACCAAUUGCGAAGGCAGGUUACUAACAAACGAUUGACGCUGAUGGACGAAAGCGUGGGGAGCGAACAGGAUUAGAUACCCUGGUAGUCCACGCCGUAAACGAUGGAUACUAGCUGUUCGGAGCAAUCUGAGUGGCUAAGCGAAAGUGAUAAGUAUCCCACCUGGGGAGUACGUUCGCAAGAAUGAA